AGCAGACUGAACAGUCGCGGGUAUAACUCGAAAGGGUGUAUCUGAGGAAAGUCCGAGCUCCGCAGGGCAGAAUAACGGCUAACGGCCGCCGGGGGCGACCCUAGGGAUAGUGCAACAGAGAGAUACCGCCCGGUUUUACUGUGGUAAGGAUGGAAAGGCGAGGUAAGAGCUCACCAGCGUAUAGGAGACUAUACGGCUAUGUAAACCCUAUUCGGAGCAACACCGCAGAGAAACAUAUAGCGCUUGCCCGGCGCGUUUCGAGAAGGUGGCAUGAGCCGCGGUGGCAACACCCGGCCAAGAUAGAUGACUGUUCACGACAGAACUCGGCUUAUAGGUCUGGUCG
This 343-nucleotide RNase P RNA is filed under the name human gut metagenome. RNAcentral describes it as "Bacterial RNase P class A". It matches the Rfam family "Bacterial RNase P class A". From Rfam's summary of the family: Ribonuclease P (RNase P) is a ubiquitous endoribonuclease, found in archaea, bacteria and eukarya as well as chloroplasts and mitochondria. Its best characterised activity is the generation of mature 5'-ends of tRNAs by cleaving the 5'-leader elements of precursor-tRNAs. The record is from RNAcentral.